Molecule: unclassified non-coding RNA, 148 nt
Organism: Pongo abelii (Sumatran orangutan)
Lineage: Eukaryota; Metazoa; Chordata; Mammalia; Primates; Hominidae
Rfam family: Metazoan signal recognition particle RNA
About the family: The signal recognition particle (SRP) is a universally conserved ribonucleoprotein. It is involved in the co-translational targeting of proteins to membranes. The eukaryotic SRP consists of a 300-nucleotide 7S RNA and six proteins: SRPs 72, 68, 54, 19, 14, and 9.
Source: Ensembl
GCUGGGCAUUGUGGCGCGUGCCUGUAAUCCCAGCUACUCAGGAGGCUGAGGCAGGAGAAUCGCUUGAACCAGGGGAGUUGGAGGUUGCAGUGAGCCGAGAUCAUGCCACUGCACUCCAGCCUGGUGACAGAGCGAGACUCUGUCUCCA